RNAcentral lists this long non-coding RNA (412 nucleotides) under Medicago truncatula (barrel medic). Its description in RNAcentral is "long non-coding RNA (MTRU_LNC004417)". Lineage: Eukaryota; Viridiplantae; Streptophyta; Magnoliopsida; Fabales; Fabaceae. The record is from RNAcentral.
UGCAACAACCUCAAAGUUUCACGGAUUAAAUUUAAGUGUUUAUUGGAUGGUUAGUACAGUUCAAACAUGUAAUUAAUUGUAAUUAAUUGCAUACAGUGAAUGGUGAAUAAAUAUAACACAUUGUCUCAACUCAUCGAUUAUAAUACUAGUGCAUAUAUAUCUUUUAAAUUCUUCGACUAAAUUCUUCUCCAACUUAUAACACUUUUUCAGUCAGGGCAAAAUCGGGUUACCCAAGUCGCACUUCUCUGUGCUGGCACGGUCUCUUCUACCUUAACUAAGGUCCUGGGUUCGAAUCCAGCCUUGGGCAUGCAGCAGUGUUAAAACUUUUAGGGAGAAUUUGUCGUCCAUUUGAGUUCCAUAAUGCUCGAGGGAUUAGUCUCCGCAGUUGCGAGCGGAGGAUACCCAGUUUAUA